CACUAACUUUAUAUAUAUAUAUAUAUAUAUAUAUAUAAAAAAAUAAAAUAAAGAGAUUAUCUCUUUGUGAGCUGUACAGGCUUUUCUAAAGCUUUGAUUUUACCCUUAGGUGAGCUGGCAGGUCUUCUAAAGGCUGGGCUGCAGCCAGAGUCCUCAGGGGAAAUUCUGUCUGACUCAGCAACUAUUUUUUUUUUCUGCAGCCUCUUGGGCUGAGAACAACAGCUCUGCCACUUCCUGACGCUUGGGCCUUGUCUGCUAGGCAAAUUUCAAAAAAGAAAUUCCCACUAGUGCUUCAAGCGUGUCUGAAAUUGUAAACAGACUGUAUCUGGACUGUUCUGUCAUUGACCUACUGUCAGUGUUAAACUUAUUUCAGCCACCAUCAGCUGCAGCAAAUUCCUAGGUGUAUGCAGUUUGUGGUUUGCCCGUGGCCUUCGGAAGGGAGGAGGGGAGCAGCACAGCAAUGUUGCUAUCAGCCAGCAACUCUGGAGGACUCGUUCAUCACGUUCCUCGGACCAAAGAAGCCUGCAUAUACAGACAGCAUGACUGGAAUUUGCUAGUCCUUUUAUCUACGUCAUACAUAAGAAAGUAAAACAACUGCUGGGGCAUCUGCAUGAUAUUUGGAUGUGGUAGAACUGGCCUUUUAUCCCACUCAUUCCACCACGGUCUGCCUGGACUUACUUUCCUUUUCCCAAGGCAGCAUCCUUCACCCGAGAUCAAUGCACCUCUGUUUAUCACUCUAUUCUUCAUCUUUCAAAGGCCGGUCCUUCUCUUAAGGUGGAGAGUAGAAAGGGAAAAAACUGAAGAAAGUGAUUUGAAGAGUUUGUAAGGCAGUGAGGUGGGGAAAACAAACUGACUCCUGAUUGCAGUUAAAAAUAUCUUACAUGAUGAAAAAAAAUCCAC
RNAcentral lists this long non-coding RNA (900 nucleotides) under Anser brachyrhynchus (Pink-footed goose). RNAcentral describes it as "lncRNA (ENSABRG00000023015.1)". The record is from RNAcentral. Lineage: Eukaryota; Metazoa; Chordata; Aves; Anseriformes; Anatidae.